UUUUUUUGCUUUUUUUGUUCUGUUUUCUUUUUUAUGUAAUUUCUUUUCUUUUAUUUAUUUGCUUUUCUGUUUUAUUUCAAUUUAAACUAUUUAGGCAUUUUAUAAAAAUGUGUUUACCACACCAUAUUUACUUAUGCAAAAUAUGGCAUCUCCCGAACAUUUUUAUUUUAAUAUUUGAAAACUUUUGUCGUUUGACUUAUUUAGGAUUUAAAUUUGAAACGGUUUUGAAUUAACCCGAGAUUAAUUACAGUGACAGAGGUGACGUGCCAUCAUUAACGUGAGAUUACUGUAGCAUGAUUAUCCGGGCGUUACAACAACCAUAUGGCUCCUGCCAGUUGCCGAUAACUCUGUUACGAAUCAUGAUCAUCUCAUACAAUAAAAUAUAGCAUCUUGUCUUGACCAUAUCACAUCACAACAAGCCCUGCAAAAACAAGUUAGACGUCCUCUACUUUGUUGUUGCAAGUUUUACGUGGCUGCUACGGGCUUAGCAAGAACCGUUCUUACCUACGCAUCAAAAACCACAACGAUUUUUCGUCAAGUGUGUUGUUUUAACCUUCGACAAGGACCGGGUGUAGCCACACUCGAUUCAACUAAAGUUGGAGCAACUGACACCCGCCAGGCACCUGUGUGACGUCGGUAGAACCAGUCUCGCGUAAGCGUACGCGUAAUGUCGGUCCAGGCCGCUUCAUCCAACAAUACCGCCGAAUUAAAGUAUGACAUGCUGGUAAGCAGUAUGACUAUUAUUGUCCACAAAUGUUUGUGCUCUACUCGUGCAUAUAACAUCUACGCAUAGACCUGGCUCGGAUGCCACUGUUGGGGAACGCAGUAAUUUCAAAAAAAAUCCUACGCACACGCAAGAUCCAUCUAGGUGAUGCAUAGCAACGAGAGGGGAGAGUGUUGUCCACGUACCCUCGUAGACCGAAAGCGGAAGCGUUAUGACAACGCGGUUGAUGUAGUCGUACGUCUUCAUGAUCUGACUGAUCCUAGCACCGAAGGUACGGCACCUCCGCGAUCUGCACACGUUCAGCUCGGUGACGUCCCAUGAACUCUAGAUCCAGCUGAGGUCGAGGGACAAUUUUGUCAGCACGACGGUGUGAUGACGGUGAUGAUGAAGUUACCGAUGCAGGGCUUCGCCUAAGCACUAGAACGAUAUGACCGAGGUGAGAAUCUAUGGAGGGAGGCACCACACACGGCUAAGAAAACUGUCAACUUGUGUGUUCUAGGGUGCCCCCUGCUCCCGUAUAUAAAGGAGAAAGGGGGAGGCCGGCCGGCCCUCAUGGGGCACGCCCCAAGUAGGAUUCCUACUAGGAAUCCUAUUCCUAGUAGGUUUCCAACAAGGGAAGAGAGGGGGAAGGAAGGAGCGGAAGAGAGGGAGAAGGAAAGGGGGGCGCCGCCCCCCUUCCCUAGUCCAAUUCGGACCCAAGGGGGAGGGGGCGCGCAGCCUGCCCUAGCCGCCCCUCUCUCUCUUCACUAAGGCCCAUAUGGCCCAUUAGUUCCCUCGGGGGGUUCCGGUAACCCUCCGGCACUCCGGUUUUAUCCGAAACUUCUCCGGAUCAUUUUCGGUGUCCGAAUAUAGUCGUACAAUAUAUCAAUCUUUAUGUCUCGACCAGUUCGAGACUCCUCGUCAUGUCCUUGAUCACAACCGGGAAUCCGAACUACCUUCGGUACAUCAAAACACAUAAACUCAUAAUACCGAUCGUCACUGAACAUUAAGUGUGCGGACCCUACGGGUUCGAGAACUAUGUAGACAUGACCAAGACUCACUACCGGUCAAUAACCAAUAGCGGAACCUGGAUGCUCAUAUUGGUUCCUACAUAUUCUACGAAGAUCUUUAUCGGUCAAACCGCAUAACACCAUACGUUGUUCCCUUUGUCAUCGGUAUGUUACUUGCCCGAGAUUCGAUCGUCGGUAUCUCAAUACCUAGUUCAAUCUCGUUACCGGAAAGUCUCUUUACUCGUUCCAUAAUGCAUCAUCCCGCAACUAACUCAUUAGUCACAUUGCUUGCAAGGCUUAUAGUGAUGUGCAUUACCGAGAGGGCCCAGAGAUACCUCUCCGUAACACGGAGUGACAAAUCCUAAUCUCGAUCUAUGCCAACCCAACAAACACCAUCGGAGACACCUGUAGAGCAUCUUUAUAAUCACCUAGUUACGUUGUGACGUUUGAUAGCACACUAAGUGUUCCUCCGGUAUUCGGGAGUUGCAUAAUCUCAUAGUCAUAGGAACAUGUAUAAGUCAUAAAGAAAGCAAUAGCAAUAAACUAAACGAUCAUAGUGCUAAGCUAACGGAUGGGUCAAGGCAAUCACAUCAUUCUCUAAUGAUGUGACCCCGUUCAUCAAAUGACAACACAUGUCUAUGGCUAGGAAACUUAACCAUCUUUGAUUAACGAGCUAGUCAAUGUAGAGGCAUACUAGUGACACUCUGUUUGUCUAUGUAUUCACACAUGUACUAAAUUUCCGGUUAAUACAAUUCUAGCAUGAAUAAUAAACAUUUAUCAUGAUAUAAGGAAAUAUAAAUAACUUUAUUAUUGCCUCUAGGGCAUAUUUCCUUCAGGUGGUGCUCACUCUCCGGUCGUGGAUGAUGGUGAUGGAGGUGCUAGGGGUGGCGGUGGUGGCGACAUUCUUCGCAGCGGUGAGGAUGUUGCUUUAUUUCUCGAUGUUAUUGAGCAUCUUUUGUUUUGUUUGAUCGCGCAUUUGUAAGGCUAAACUUGAUACUUCGUAUGUUGCGCAUGAUUUUGGAUGUGAUGAACUAGUGAUGUAUAUAUAUAUGAUGAUGAACUUGUCAAUAUUUGACCUGUGAUUUUAUUUGUGGUACGGUGAGCCCUCCGACGCGGAACAGAUUCCGCAAAAAAAAUGCGGGAUGGGUUUACGGGAUCUGUUCCGCCGGAGGGUUCGUUGUACCUAAAAAAGUACUGUGGGCGCCUUUAAAAGAGUUUUGCGGGCCGGCCGGUUGAGGGAUCUGCUAGAGAGAUGCUCUAAAGUUGCUGAUAGAAUAGUGAUAACAAAGGGUGAUGGGAGCGGACGAGCCCUCACAAAGUAGCAAGAUAGUGUAUUAAGAUGCAGGGAGGACCAAACCUACUUUUACUCAAUGUAAACCAAGCCUAGCUUAUUCUUGAUUGUGGGAGGAGUUGUUGGAAACUUAAAAUUUAUUUUACAGUUGUUGUCAGAGAGCUGUGGGCAAUGGGUGAAAGAUAAUUCCGAGAGGAUAAUUCGAUAUGGCAUUGCUCUAUGUGCACUCAAGCAUUAGACCCACAGAUCCACCAAGUAGGGAUGAAGGGUGGCGAAAAUACACAAAGGAACUUGGGUCUAGGCGCACCUGAAUUGAAAAAAAAUAGUAGAAACAAUCAACUAUUUUUGGAAUUUUUGGCAACAUACAUGGUUUAUCCAUAAUACUCACGGUAAAAAUUUCAGGACAAAAUGAUUAUUGUCGUAUUCCGAACGAAAUACAAGAUAGUCACUAUUAAUGGUUUUUGUAGCUGCACUUUUGUUUUUGUCACUUGGAAAACGACAUAGCUCAUUUUGUCCCCAAAAUUUAAACAUGAGUAUUAUUCUAAACUGUUUCUCGCAAAAAAGUUUAACAACUUUGGAUUAUUUUACUAAAAAAAUGCUCAAUUCGGUGCGCCAGACCCAUAUCCCAAAAAUCCACACCAUGGAGGGUGGAUCAUAUUCCCCUAGUAACGCAGGGACUAGUGGCCAAUUUUUCGAUUUUACUUCCCAUCGGUUUUGAGAAUGUUCCAAAACCUUCCCUAUAAGACAAUUUCAUGGUCUCUUUUUAUUUUCAAUUUUUUCUCCUUUUAUUAUGUUUUAUUUUUUGUAAACAUUUUUCAAUACACAUAACAUUUUUUUUAAAUGCGGGAAUAAAUUUAAAUGUCAAAAUAUGUUUGUAAAAUCCAUGAAUUUUUUUAACUUAAAAAAACUUUUCUAAAAUUCAUGAAUAAGUUUUAAAACAUGAAAGAGUUUUUGAAAACUGAGAAUUUUUUUACAAAUUCAUAAACUUUUUUUUAAAUUCCCAAAAUUUUCCAAAUGUGUGAACAUUUUUAAAUAUCCGAGAACAUCUUUUAAAGUUCAUGGUCAAUUUCUGAAAUCUAGGAUAUUUUUUAAAUUCGUGAACAUUAUUGAAACUAGAGGAUACCCCAUGCGUUGCUCCGGGAAUUGCCUGAUAAAAAUUUGGAUUGAUAACAUGGGAACCAAAAUGAAAAUACAUAGGACUUAAUAUAUAAGAUUAUGUAUAGUUGUAACAAUAUUUAUUUAAUAUAAGUAGAAUAAUUAAAUGGAAAAUAUUCAUGCAUGGUUGAAUGUUGUGGUGGGCUUUUCCCCGUGCAUGAUUGCAUGUGAAAUGAGCCUUAUCACAUUCAUAAUGUAUGGUGAGGUGGCAUGCUUGCAUGUUGAGAUAAAUACGUUAGUGGGGAUGAGUCUCUUGUUAUAUAUAGGAUACGGGAACAAUUUUCAAAUUCUUGACGUUUUUUAAAAUCCAGGAAUAUUUCUGAAUAUAAUUUCAAAAUCCCAAAGGUUUUUUCAAAUUUAUGAUGUUAUUUAUUUAUUUUAGGCACAUUUUUCAAAUUAAAAAGGCAGGAAAAAGGAAAAACAUAGGGGCGCCCCACCCCACACAUGGGCCGACCCAAAGCGCGAGGGGUGUGUGCAUUUGUUGUGCCCCUGAUGUCCUAUGCGCAUGUUAGGAGGUCUUGACCAAGAUACAGAGAGCACAUCAUUGGUGCAUUCAGGGCUCGAUAGAUGCACUGCCGCUCGUGUGUGCCGCUAGCGGGUUGUGGCCCAUAGCUCUGUCCACCGCUGUUGUUUCGAUCGCCCUGGUCGGUGUUGACUUCCACGAAUCCUAUUUGGCAUCAACUGCGCAAACCCAACUGGAAGCUAACACAGGAAGUUAAUACCAACCAGGGCGAUCGAAACAGCAGCGGUGGACACAGUAAGCUAAAUAGGAUUCUCCGGUAUCUCAUGUUUGUGGUCGAGAAAGAAAAAACACAGGAAGCUAACUGGGCCGACCAAUGUAGGUUUUUUCUUUCUCGACCACAAACAUGAGAAACCGGAGCAAUGACACUGUUUGUUUUCUCGGGAAGAGACCCAACUGGUUUGUGAAGCUUCUAGAAGCUUCCGACCGGUUUUGGGAAGCUUUUGACCAAUUUUUUCCUUUUCUGGUUUUCUGGAUGGUUUUUAUUUAUUUUUUUUCUUUUUCUUUCAUUUCAUUUUUUUCUUAAAUUCGUCAACUGGUUUUUCAAAAUCCGUAAACUUGUUCCAAUAUCGAUGAUAUUUUUUCAGAUUUCAUGAACUCUUUUUCCAACAGGAAAUUCUUUUCCAAAAUUGAUGAACUUUACUCAAAAUCAAAGAUUUUUUUAAAACAAUUAUGAACUUGUCAAAUGUAUGUUUCAUUUGUCAAAAUCGACGAAAUUUUCUCAAAUAUAUGAAAAAAAAUCAAAAUUGAUGAACUUUUUUCAAAUGAAUAAACUUUUAUAAAAUCCGUAAACCAUUUUCGAUUUCACAAUUUUUUAUAAGUAUUAAAAAACUUGCUGGUUUUUUUGCUAGAUCAACAGCACGAAAAGGGGCAAAAAAGAACUAGCAUGCGUAGCAGGCGGCCAAGGGAUCUCAGUUGGGCCACGAUCCGCUUGGGGCGUGCAUGAGCGCCUUUUCACGUUUCGGACGCUGGAGGCGCCUAAUAGGAGCACUCGUUGACUUUAGGGUUCGCUCAAUCAAUAACUAGGUGGAUUUGUUUGCUAGCUUUCCCCCCUAUACUAGCAUGUGUGAAAUAAACCUGAUAGUUUUAAGAAAGGGUUUCGGUUUCUCCUAUUAAUUUAAAAAGUUCAUGAACUCGAAGAAAGUUUUAUCAACUAAAAAAUGUGGAUUUUAAAAAUGUUCAUCAAUUAGGAAAAGAAAAAUGUGAAUUUGAACCAAGUUUAUGAAUUUAUAAAAAGGUUCAUGAAUUAGAUUUUUUUAUGAAUUUCAAAAAGUAGACGAAUUUUAAAAGUUCAAAAGUUUACAAUUUUGAAGAAAACAUGGAUUUGAUAAAAAUAGUUCACGGGAUUACACAAAAAGUUCAAUAUUUUUUAAAACAAAAGUUCACAAAUUUGAAAAAUAUUGGCGGAUUUUCGAAGAAAAAAAAGUUGGCAGAUUUGGGAAAAGUUCAUCAACUUGAAAAAAGAUCAUGAAUUUAAAAAAAGUUCAAAAAUAUGGAAAACGAUUGUGGAUUGAAAAUAUAUUCAUGCAUUUGAAAAAAAAUUGUAGAUUAAAAAAAUCAUGAAUUUGUAAAAUUUCACAUGUUUUGAAAAUAGGUUCAUGGAUUUGAAAAUGUUUGCGAAUUUUAAAAACUUCACGUGCUUUGAAGGAAGUGUUCACGAAUUUAAGAAAAGUUAAUGAUUUAAAAAAGGGAAAAAAUAAGAAAAAGAAAUAUAAAACUAAAAAAACCACGAUAGAAAACCGACCAAACAAAAAUGAAAAAAAUGAAAACCGGAGUCUAGAAGGCGUUGUUUUUUCUUAGCGUUACAUUUGACGUGCCAAGUAGUAAAAGAAGCAAAAGUAGACAUUGCAAAUGAUAGGGCGAGGUUGGAAACUACGGCUGGAGAUAAACCAGCAGGUCGGAGGUUCGAAUCUCAUCGCGCACCUUUUUUUGAAUGUUAAAAGAAGGAAAACAAAGAGUAAAUGGACCGAUCCCUAGUAGUGUUAUGAUUGAGCGAUCAAGGAUGACGUGGGCUAUAUCCGAUAAAUGUGGAGCUCACGUCAUUGUGGGAGGUCUUAGGUGACUUAAUUAUAUUGUUUUCAUCUCUCCUAUACUUAAAAAGAACACAAGGUUAUGGCAUUCAUCUCAUGUUUCAUCCAACAUUAGGUACGUUCCCGUCCCUCUCUUCGUCUUGAUUUUCUUUCCUUUCUAUCUUUAUUUUUUCUCAUCGACUUUUCUUUGAAACCUUCUUAACUAUCUCAUCUUUUAUUGACUUGUCCAAUAAAAUUAUAUCUUGCUUCAAUUCUUCCAAUUGACCGGAGUUUGAAAAGGCUAGAACCCCAAGCACCGCUAAUAAAUGGAUACUUCAAUUCUUUCAGUUGACCUGAGUUCCUUUACAAUGCAUUGUAUCUCAUGAGCUUGUUCAAAUACAAAAUAAUUAUUUAUAAUCUUGUAGUCACGAGAGCUAUCCAUGAUGUAUAGUUCAUUGAUUGCAUCUGUUGUAUAAAAUUUAGCAUUCAGUGCCUCCCAGCUGCUUCCUAUCUUGUACAUGCAUGUACACAUCACACGGUAGUAAGAACACUCAAAAUGCAUCCUACAAAGAUCGAUGACAAAUUCAGGGUCUGUAAAACAGUUUACUGUUCAUGUACUGUUUUGACUCGAUUUGUCUUUUUUACUGAGAGCUAUUCAGAUGUCCAAAUGAGCUAAUAUUUGGAGCGAACCUCACGCAAUAAAUUGUCUACUAUGAAAAAAAAUUUGGAAUUUUUUGAAUUUUCUAGUAUUUGUUUUGAAUUUCUUUCUGACCGGGUGCAGAUAAGCCUGGGCACCGAAUCGCUACACUCAAAACGAAAAAGGUCAUUGGCAAACGACCAUUAUACAAUGGAACCUGGCACUAUUGUUUGCCCUAAGGGUCAACCCACCUUUCUGGAGUGUUGAGUAUCGUGAUUAUUAGGAAAGCUUGGAUAGUGUAGGAUAUUAUUCUACCUUGCCUUGUACUUCACGAUGAUCAUGUACUCAUAUAUAUAUGCCCACGAGGCUCAAGCAAUUCAUCGUGCAAUUCCCACAACAUACAUGGUAUCAGUUCCGGGUUCUAUGCCGCUUCCGCACCCGCGCGCCGCCCCCGGGGCAGUCGGCCUCCAUGACCGCCGCCGGGGGCCGCGCCGCCCGUACCUAGGGUUCGUCCGUCGGUCGUGUUGACCGGCUGCCUAAAAAGUCUUUUUCGCCGAUCGCUUGAUCCGGAUUUUUCUCCCUGUGCCGGUUGUCUUAAUCGGCGGUUAUUUUUGGUUUUCCGAUGUUAGAUUGGCUUGCGUGGCCCGCCGCCGUUUAUCAUCUACGACGCACGCUACUUCGUCAUCAUCUUCAUCAGCUUCGACGGGAUAGACUGUCACACGGUCCCUCGGACGUAUAUUGCGGGCGGCUCGCGCAGUCUUGUGCUGGCUCGUCGGGCUGGCCGCUUCGCGUGCGGCCACUCGCACGUCCCAUGCGGGCGUGAUUAGCGCGAUGGCCGCCUGCCAAUGCAGCCAGGCCGCGUGGUCGUGUUAUGCAUGUUGACCGGCCGUGCAAGUUCCGUGGCUUGCUGGCUGCUCGUUGCAUCUCAAGCGGAUUGAUCCUUAACGAUGCUGUAACAUCCCGUCGUCCGACGCAUCCGUUCGGUCUGAUUAACUGAACGUACUGCGUCGAAUUCCAUGAAGGUUGUCAUCGAAUAUUCGUGCGUCUUCAUCGAUUGAGCAACAGGGUGCCACUGCGUCGCCCCAUCGGGCCGCAGCACCGUCGUCCCGUGGUUCUCCCGUGGCUGCACCAAUCCGUGCCGCCGCUGCGUCGUCCCUUCGGGUCGUAGUGCCGCGACACGUGGUCCUCGCCACCGCCCUGAGGCUGUCUCUGUGGUUGCACCACAUCGCGCGUUGUCGCUGCGUCGCCCCUUCGGGCCGUAGUGUCGCGGCCCGCGAUCAACUGCCGCACCGAGGCCGUCCGCUCCAGGCCAUCCCCGAGGCUGCACCGACCCUCGCGCUGCCGUUGCGUCGCCCCGUCGGGCCGUAGCGAGUGUGGCACGUGAUCCCUGCAACCGCCCCGAGGUCUUCCCCGCCGUCGCCCCGACCUACCCGCCGCCGUUGCGUCGCCUCUUCGGACCGUAACGCUGCGGCCCGCGGUCCACCGCCGUCCACGCGCGUUGACUUCCACAUGAUAUCCGCCGCGCCGCCUCCCUUGGCGCGGGAACGUCACCGUCCGCGCCGGUCUUCGUCACGCUAUCGGGUUCAUUAUCGCCUACUUCGAGCAAUGCCGCCGCGCUCCUUCUCAAGCCGUCGCCGCCGCCUCCUUAGGCCGCCGCCACCGCUGCUCUUCUUCCGCGGCUCCACGGCGACUCCCUCGACACCGGCGCCCCCCGACUCGACACCGACCACGGCGUUCAUCGCACGGCUACCUCGACUACGUCUACACCACCUACACUCUCGGCUACCUCGACAAACGGCACCAAAGGGCUACCGCCUUGCUUGAGCAACCUCGUCGGUUUCCACUCCAGCCACGACUUCCGCGAUGCGUCNNNNNNNNNNNNNNNNNNNNNNNNNNNNNNNNNNNNNNNNNNNNNNNNNNNNNNNNNNNNNNNNNNNNNNNNNNNNNNNNNNNNNNNNNNNNNNNNNNNNNNNNNNNNNNNNNNNNNNNNNNNNNNNNNNNNNNNNNNNNNNNNNNNNNNNNNNNNNNNNNNNNNNNNNNNNNNNNNNNNNNNNNNNNNNNNNNNNNNNNNNNNNNNNNNNNNNNNNNNNNNNNNNNNNNNNNNNNNNNNNNNNNNNNNNNNNNNNNNNNNNNNNNNNNNNNNNNNNNNNNNNNNNNNNNNNNNNNNNNNNNNNNNNNNNNNNNNNNNNNNNNNNNNNNNNNNNNNNNNNNNNNNNNNNNNNNNNNNNNNNNNNNNNNNNNNNNNNNNNNNNNNNNNNNNNNNNNNNNNAACGUCACCGUCCGCGCCGGUCUUCGUCACGCUAUCGGGUUCAUUAUCGCCUACUUCGAGCAAUGCCGCCGCGCUCCUUCUCAAGCCGUCGCCGCCGCCUCCUUAGGCCGCCGCCACCGCUGCUCUUCUUCCGCGGCUCCACGGCGACUACCUCGACACCGGCGACCCCCGACUCGACACCGACCACGGCGUUCAUCGCACGGCUACCUCGACUACGUCUACACCACCUACACUCUCGGCUACCUCGACAAACGGCACCAAAGGGCUACCGCCUUGCUUGAGCAACCUCGUCGGUUUCCACUCCAGCCACGACUUCCGCGAUGCGUCGACCGUUACGACUGUGUGUGUGUUGGGGGGUGUCCGUCGGCUUACCUUUGGAUUCUUCUCCAGUCUCAUCGUCUGCGUCGCUACCGUUGUGACUGCGGGGGGAUGUUGAGUAUCGUGAUUAUUAGGAAAGCUAGGAUAGCGUAGGAUAUUAUUCUACCUUGCCUUGUACUCCAAGAUGAUCAUGUACUCCUAUAUAUAUGCCCACAAGGCUCAAGCAAUACAUCGAACAAUUCCACCAAAUCCAUCCCCCUCCCCCUUCUAACAUAGAGAAGCAGACACAUAACAUCACAACAUUACCCAUUUUCAAGACAAGAAAGUGGAGAAUGCACUCUCCAUUGCCCAAAGGAAAGGGGAGUGUGAAGGUAUAUUCAGAGUUCUGUUAAUCUAAUAUAAAUCAGAUAUAUUUUAAAGAAAGGGCUAUGAAAUAGACAUGUACAGAAUGGAAUUUGCCACUAAGAGCAUCUACAGUCGGGCUCGCCAAACCCACUAUACUUCCGGGCGGAUGGCCCAGUCACUAAUCGGUAAAAAUCGACCCAGGCGGCCGCCUCAUACCAUUCCCAAACGCCUGGGCUAAUCGACAUCCCUCAUAUCCAGCCCAAAUCUGGGACGGAUAUGGGGAGGCAUGGGUAAGCCCGGGCACGCCCGCCACGUCGGAUCCUUCCCACGCUGGCCCACCCGACCCCAUUUAUAUUCAUCCCUGUGCACUCCCUAACCAAACAAUACCUAGUCCACUCCGGUCCGGACCCAAGCUCACUUCUGGCGAUUUCCAGCCCUCUUAGGCAUGAUGGGUAGCAAAUCCGACUCCGACCACUUCUGAUCUAUCGACUGGGUGUCAUCCCACAUGGGCCAGAGGACGCUAUGUCCAUCCGCAUGGCCCUCCACCGCUCUCGAUAGGAGUGCGCCUGACCGACGUUGGAAUCUGUCCGGCACGAAUCCAUUGCGUCGGCGCAACUGGCGCUCAGAUCCGCCGGGGCUGGAGGCUCGAGGUUCGUCUAUCGCCCCUUCUUCGGUCCAGAGGAGUACGUGUGUUACAGGGACUGGGUGCCCAUUGUAACAAGCAGAGGGCGCGGGAGCACGAGGCCUGCCUCACUAACGAUGUGGUGGAGGCGGAGGCUGUUGGAAAUAUGCCCUAGAGGCAAUAAUAAAUUGGUUAUUAUUAUAUUUCCUUGUUCACGAUAAUCGUUUAUUAUCCAUGCUAGAAUUGUAUUGAUAGGAAACUCAGAUACAUGUGUGGAUACAUAGACAACACCAUGUCCCUAGUAAGCCUCUAGUUGACUAGCUCGUUGAUCAAUAGAUGGUUACGGUUUCCUGACCAUGGACAUUGGAUGUCGUUGAUAACGGGAUCACAUCAUUAGGAGAAUGAUGUGAUGGACGAGACCCAAUCCUAAGCCUAGCACAAGAUCGUGUAGUUCGUUUGCUCAGAGCUUUUCUAAUGUCAAGUAUCAGUUCCUUAGACCAUGAGAUUGUGCAACUCCUGGAUAUCGUAGGAAUGCUUUGGGUGUACCAAACGUCACAACGUAACUGGGUGGCUAUAAAGGUGCACUACAGGUAUCUCCGAAAGUGUCUGUUGGGUUGGCACGAAUCGAGACUGGGAUUUGUCACUCCGUGUAAACGGAGAGGUAUCUCUGGGCCCACUCGGUAGGACAUCAUCAUAAUGUGCACAAUGUGACCAAGGAGUUGAUCACGGGAUGAUGUGAGUUACGGAACGAGUAAAGAGACUUGCCAGUAACGAGAUUGAACAAGGUAUCGGGAUACCGACGAUCGAAUCUCGGGCAAGUAACAUACCGAUGGACAAAGGGAAUUGCAUACGGGAUUGAUUGAAUCCCCGACAUCGUGGUUCAUCCGAUGAGAUCAUCGUGGAACAUGUGGGAGCCAACAUGGGUAUCCAGAUCCCGCUGUUGGUUAUUGACCGGAGAACUUCUCGGUCAUGUCUGCAUGGUUCCCGAACCCGUAGGGUCUACACACUUAAGGUUUGAUGACGCUAGGGUUAUAGGGAAAGUAUGUACGUGGUUACCGAAUGUUGUUCGGAGUCCCGGAUGAGAUCCCGGACGUCACGAGGAGUUCCGGAAUGGUCCGGAGGUAAAGAUUUAUAUAUGGGAAGUCCUGUUUUGGUCACCGGAAAAGUUUCGGGUGAUAUCGGUAAUGUACCGGGACCACCGGGAGGGUCCCGGGGUCCACCAAGUGGGGCCACCAGCCCCAGAAGGCUGCGUGGGCCAAGUGUGGGAGGGGACCAGCCCCAGGUGGGCUGGUGCGCCCCCCACCAAGGCACAAGCGCAUGGGAGAGUGGGAGGGGGCAAACCCUAGGUCCAGAUGGGCCUUAAGGCCCACCCUAGUGGCGCCCCCCCCCCUCUCCUCCCCUUGGCCGCCCCCCUUAGAUGGGAUCUAGGGCUGGCCGCCUCCCCUUGGGGUGGGAACCCUAGAGGGGGCGCAGCCCCUUCCCCCCUAUAUAUAGUUGAGGUUUGGGGCUGCCCAAGACACGAGAACGUCUCUCUUUCGGCGCAGCCCUACCCCUCUCCCUCCUCCUCCUCUCCCGCGGUGCUUGGCGAAGCCCUGCGGAUUGCCACGCUCCUCCAUCACCACCACGCCGUCGUGCUGCUGCUGGAUGGAGUCUUCCCCAACCUCUCCCUCCCUCCUUGCUGGAUCAAGGCGUGGGAGACGUCACCGGGCUGCACGUGUGUUGAACGCGGAGGCACCGUUCUUCGGUGCUCAGAUCGGAAUCAACCGCGAUCUGAAUCGCUACGAGUACGACUCCCUCAUCCGUGUUCUUGCAACGCUUCCGCAUCGCGAUCUACAAGGGUAUGUAGAUGCACUCCCCUUCCCCUCGUUGCUAGAUUACUCCAUAGAUUGAUCUUGGUGAUGCGUAGAAAAUUUUGAAUUUCUGCUACGUUCCCCAACAGUGGCAUCAUGAGCUAGGUCUAUGCGUAGUUUCUAUGCACGAGUAGAACACAAAGCAGUUGUGGGCGUAGAUGUUGCCAAUUCUUCUUGCCGCUACUAGUCUUAUCUUGUUUCGGCGGCAUUGUGGGAUGAAGCGGCCCGGACCGACCUUACACGUACGCUUACGUGAGACUGGUUCCACCGACUGACAUGCACUAGUUGCAUAAGGUGGCUAGCGGGUGUCUGUCUCUCCCACUUUAGUCGGAACGGAUUCGAUGAAAAGGGUCCUUAUGAAGGGUAAAUAGAAAUUGGCAUAUCACGUUGUGGUUUUACGUAGGUAAGAAACGUUCUUGCUAGAAACCUAUACAAGCCACGUAAAAACUUGCAACAACAAUUAGAGGACGUCUAACUUGUUUUUGCAGCAUGUGUUAUGUGAUGUGAUAUGGCCAAAAGGAUGUGAUGAAUGAUAUAUGUGAUGUAUGAGAUUGAUCAUGUUCUUGUAAUAGGAAUCACGACUUGCAUGUCGAUGAGUAUGACAACCGGCAGGAGCCAUAGGAGUUGUCUUUAUUUUUUGUAUGACCUGCGUGUCAUUGAAUAACGCCAUGUAAAUUACUUUACUUUAUUGCUAAGCGCGUUAGCCAUAGAAGUAGAAGUAAUCGUUGGCGUGACAACUUCAUGAAGACACAAUGAUGGAGAUCAUGAUGAUGGAGAUCAUGGUGUCAUGCCGGUGACAAAGAUGAUCAUGGUGCCCCGAAGAUGGAGAUCAAAGGAGCAAGAUGAUAUUGGCAAUAUCAUGUCACUAUUUGAUUGCAUGUGAUGUUUAUCAUGUUAUGCAUCUUAUUUGCUUAGAACGACGGUAGUAAGUAAGAUGAUCCCUAAAAAAUUUCAAGAGACGUGUUCCCCCUAACUGUGCACCGUUGCGAAGGUUCGUUGUUUCGAAGCACCACGUGAUGAUCGGGUGUGAUAGAUUCUAACGUUCGAAUACAACGGGUGUUGACGAGCCUAGCAUGUACAGACAUGGCCUCGGAACACAUGCAAAACACUUAGGUUGACUUGACGAGCCUAGCAUGUACAGACAUGGCCUCGGAACACAAGAGACCGAAAGGUCGAACAUGAGUCGUAUAGUAGAUACGAUCAACAUGGAGAUGUUCACCGAUGAUGACUAGUCCGUCUCACGUGAUGAUCGGACACGGCCUAGUUUGACUCGGAUCAUGUAUCACUUAGAUGACUAGAGGGAUGUCUAUCUGAGUGGGAGUUCAAUAAUCAGAUGAACUUCAUUAUCAUGAACAUAGUCAAAAAGUCUUUGCAAAUUAUGUCAUAGCUUGCGCUUUAGUUCUACUGUUUAAGAUAUGUUCCUAGAGAAAAUUUAGUUGAAAGUUGAUAGUAGCAAUUAUGCGGACUGGGUCCGUGAACUGAGGAUUGUCCUCAUUGCUGCACAGAAGGCUUAUGUCCUUAAUGCACCGCUCGGUGUGCUGAACCUCAGCGUCGUCUGUAGAUGUUGCGAAACAUCUGACAUACACGUUUUGAUGACUACGUGAUAGUUCAGUGUGUAAUGCUAACGGUUUAGAAUUGUGGCACCAAAGAUGUUUUGAAACGUCGCAGAACAUGUGAGAUGUUCCGAAGACUGAAAUUGGGAUUUCAGACUAGUGCCCACGUCAAGAGGUAUGAGACCCCUGACAAGUUUCUUAAGCCUGCAAACUAAGGGAGAAAAGCUCAAUCGUUGAGCAUGUGCUCAGAUUGUCUGAGUACUACAAUCACUUGAAUCAAGUGGGAGUUAAUCUUCCAGAUGAGAUAGUGAUGAUUCUCCAUAGUCACUGCCACCAAGCUAUUAGAGCUUCGUGAUGAACUAUAACAUAUCAGGGAUAGAUAUGAUGAUCCUUGAGCAACUCGCGAUGUUUGACACCGCGAAAGUAGAAAUCAAGAAGGAGCAUCAAUUGUUGAUGGUUAGUAAAACCACUAGUUUCUAGAAGGGCAAGGGCAAAAGGGAUACUUCAUGAAACAGCAAAUCAUUUGCUGCUCUAGUGAAGAAUCCCAAGGUUGAACCCAAACCCGAGACUAAGUGCUUCUGUAAUGAGGGGAACGGUCACUGAAGCAGAACUACCCUAGAUACUUGGUAGAUGAGAAGGCAGGCAAGGUCGACAGAAGUAUAUUGGAUAUACAUUAUAUGAAUGUGUACUUUACUAGUACUCCUAGCAGCACCAGGGUAUUAGAUACUGGUUCGGUUGCUAAGUGUUAGUAACUCGAAAUAAAAGCUGCGGAAUAAACGGAGACUAGCUAAAGGUGAGAUGACGAUAUGUGUUGGAAGUGUUUCCAAGGUUGAUGUGAUCAAGCAUCGCAUGCUCCCUCUACCAUCGAGAUUUGGUGUUUGCGUUGAGCAUGAUUGGAUUAUGUUUGUCGCAAUACGGUUAUUCAUUUAAGGAGAAUAAUGGUUACUCUGUUUAUUUGAAUAAUACCUUCAAUGGUCUUGGACCUAAAAUGAAUCUCGAUCGUAGUGAUACACAUGUUCGUGCCAAAAGAUAUAAAAUAGUAAUGAUAGUACCACAUACUUAUGGCACUGCCAUUUGAGUCAUAUUGGUAUAGAACGCAUGAAGAAGCUCCAUGUAGAAGGAUCUUUGGACUCACUCGUUUUUGAAAAGAUUGAGACAUGCGAACCAUGUCUAUUGGUAUAUAUGCAUGAAGAAACUCCAUGCAGAUGGAUCGUUUGGACUCACUUGAUUUCGAAUCACUUGAGACAUGCAAAUCAUACCACAUGGGCAAGAUGACUGAAAGUCCUCGUUUUCAGUAAGAUUGAACAAGAGAGCAACUUGGAAUGGAAGAGAUAAUUAAAUUAAUUAGGCCUUGAACUUCUACUUUCGUUUAGAAUUUAGGCGGAAGUAAUACAUUUUGAUGUAUGCAGUCCAAUGAGUGCUGAGGCAUGCAGUGGAUAUCGUUAUGUUCUUACUUCACAGAUGAUUUGAGUAGAUGCUGAGUGUAUUUACUUGAUGAAACACAAGUCUGAAUUAUUGAAAGGUUCAAGUAAUUUCAGAGUGAAGUUGAAGAUCGUCGUGACAAGAGGAUAAAAUGUCUGUGAUAUGAUCAUAGAGAUGAGUAUCUGAGUUACGAGUUUGGCACACAAUUAAGACAUUGUGGAAAAUGUUUCACAAUUAAUACCGCCUGGAACACCAUGGUGUGAUGGUGUGUCCGGACAUCAUAGCUGCACCCUAUUGGAUAUGGUGCAUACCAUGAUGUCUCUUAUCGAAUUACCACUAUCGUUUAUGGGUUAGGCAUUAGAGACAACCGCAUUCACUUUAAAAGGGGCACCACGCAAUUCCGUUGAGACGACACCGUUUAGAGAAACCUAAGUUGUCGUUUCUUAAAGGUUUGGGGCUGCGAUGCUUAUGUGAAAAAGUUUCAGGCUGAUAAGCUCGAACCCAGAGCGGAUAAAUGCAUCUUCAUAGAAUACCCAAAACAGUUGGGCAUACCUCCUAUUUCAGAUCUGGAAGCAAAAGUAAUUGCCUCUAGAAACGAGUCCUUUCUCGAGGAAAAGUUUCUCUCAAAAGAAUUGAGUGGGAGGAUGGUGGAGACUUGAUAAGGUUAUUGAACCGUCACUUCGACUAGUGUGUAGCAGGGCACAGGAAGUUGUUCCUAUGGCACCUACACCAAUUGAAGUGGAAGCUUAUGAUAGUGAUCAUGAAACUUCGGAUCAAGUCACUACCAAACCUCGUAGGACGACGAGGAUGCGUGCUACUUCAGAGUGGUACGUGAUCCUGUCUGAGAUAUCAUGUUGUUGGACAAUACUGAACCUACGAGCUAUGGAGAAGCGAUGGUGGGCCCAUAUUCCGACAAAUGGUUAGAAGCCAUGAAAUCCGAGAUAAAUGGAUCUUUAAGAAGAAGACGGGCGUGGACGGUAAUGUUACCGUCUAUGAAGCUCGACUUGUGACAAAGAGUAUUUCCACAAGUUCAAGGAGUUGACUACGAUGAGAUUUUCCCAUCCGUAGCGAUGCUUAAGUCCGUCGGAAUCAUGUUAGCAUUAGCUGUAUUUAUGAAAUCUGGCAGAUGGAUGUCAAAACAAGUUUCCUUACUUGUUUUCGUAAGGAAAGGUUGUAUGUGAUACAAUCAGAAAGGUUUUGUCGAUCCUAAGGAUCUAAAAGGUAUGCUAGCUCCAGCGAUCCUUCCAUGGACUAGAGCAAGCAUCUCGGAGUCAGAAUAUACGCUUUGAUGGAGUGAUCAAAGUUUUUGGGUUUAUACAAAGUUUGUUAGAAACUUGUAUUUACAAUAAAGUGAGUGGGAGCGCUACAACAUUUCUGAUAAGUAUAUGUGAAUGACAUAUUGUUGAUCCGAAAUGAUGUAAAAAUUUCUGGAAAGCAUAAAGGGUUGUUUGAAAGGAGUUUUUCAAAGGAAGACCUGGAUAAAGCUGCUUACAUAUUGGGCAUCAAGAUCUAUAGAGAUAGAUCAAGACGCCCGAUGAUACUUUCAAAGAACGCACACCUUGACAUGAUUUUGAAAGAGUUCAAAAUAGAUCAGCAAAGAAGGAGUUCUUGGCUGUGUUACAAGGUGUGAGUAUUGAGUGAGACUCAAGACCUGACCACAGCAGAAGAGAGAGAAAGGACGAAGGUCGUCCCCUAUGCUUUAGACGUAGGCUCUACAGUAUGCUAUGUUGUGUACCGCACAUGAAGUGUGCCUUGCCAUGAGUUGGUCAAGGGGUACAAUAGUGAUCCGGGAAUGGAUCACAUGACAGCGGUCGAACUUAUCCUUAGUAUCUAGUGGACUAAGGAAUUUUCUCGAUUAUGGAGGUGAAAGGGAGUUCGUCGUAAAGGGUUACGUCGAUGCGAACUUUGACACUAAUCCGGAUGACUCUGAGUAGUAAACCGGAUUCGUAUAGUAGAGCAAUUAUUUGAAAUGGCUCCAAAUAGCGCGUGGUAGCAUCCACAAGAUGACAUAGAUAUUCGUAAAGCACACACGGAUCUGAAAGGUUCAGACCCGUUGACUAAAUAACCUCUCUCACAAGCAUAACAUGAUCAAACCAGAACUCAUUGAGUGUUAAUCACAUAGAGAUGUGAACUAGAUUGUUGACUCUAGUAAACUCUUUGGAUGUUGGUCACAUGGUGAUGUGACCUGUGAGUGUUAAUCACAUGGUGAUGUGGACUAGAUUAUUGACUCUAGUGCAAGUGGGAGACUGUUGGAAAUAUUCCCUAGAGGCAAUAAUAAAUUGGUUAUUAUUAUAUUUCCUUGUUCACGAUAAUCGUUUAUUAUCCAUGCUAGAAUUGUAUUGAUAGGAAACUCAGAUACAUGUGUGGAUACAUAGACAACACCAUGUCCCUAGUAAGCCUCUAGUUGACUAGCUCGUUGAUCAAUAGAUGGUUACGGUUUCCUGACCAUGGACAUUGGAUGUCGUUGAUAACGGGAUCACAUCAUUAGGAGAAUGAUGUGAUGGACGAGACCCAAUCCUAAGCCUAGCACAAGAUCGUGUAGUUCGUUUGCUCAGAGCUUUUCUAAUGUCAAGUAUCAGUUCCUUAGACCAUGAGAUUGUGCAACUCCCGGAUACCAUAGGAAUGCUUUGGGUGUACCAAACGUCACAAUGUAACUGGGUGGCUAUAAAGGUGCACUACAGGUAUCUCCGAAAGUGUCUGUUGGGUUGGCACGAAUCGAGACAGGGAUUUGUCACUCCGUGUAAACGGAGAGGUAUCUCUGGGCCCACUCGGUAGGACAUCAUCAUAAUGUGCUCAAUGUGACCAAGGAGUUGAUCACGGGAUGAUGUGAGUUACGGAACGAGUAAAGAGACUUGCCGGUAACGAGAUUGAACAAGGUAUCGGGAUACCGACGAUCGAAUCUCGGGCAAGUAACAUACCGAUGGACAAAGGGAAUUGCAUACGGGAUUGAUUGAAUCCCCGACAUCGUGGUUCAUCCGAUGAGAUCAUCGUGGAACAUGUGGAAGCCAACAUGGGUAUCCAGAUCCCGCUAUUGGUUAUUGACCGGAGAACUUCUCGGUCAUGUCUGCAUGGUUCCCGAACCCGUAGGGUCUACACACUUAAGGUUCGAUGACGCUAGGGUUAUAGGGAAAGUAUGUACAUGGUUACCGAAUGUUGUUCGGAGUCCCGGAUGAGAUCCCGGACGUCACGAGGAGUUCCGGAAUGGUCCGGAGGUAAAGAUUUAUAUAUGGAAAGUCCUGUUUUGGUCACCGGAAAAGUUUCGGGUGAUAUCGGUAAUGUACCGGGACCACCGGGAGGGUCCCGGGGGUCCACCAAGUGGGGCCACCAGCCCCAGAAGGCUGCGUGGGCCAAGUGUGGGAGGGGACCAGCCCCAGGUGGGCUGGUGCGCCCCCCACCAAGGCACAAGCGCAUGGGAGAGUGGGAGGGGGCAAACCCUAGGUCCAGAUGGGCCUUAAGGCCCACCCUAGUGGCGCCCCCCCUCUCCUCCCCUUGGCCGCCCCCCUUAGAUGGGAUCUAGGGCUGGCCGCCUCCCCUUGGGGUGGGAACCCUAGAGGGGGCGCAGCCCCUUCCCCCCCUAUAUAUAGUUGAGGUUUGGGGCUGCCCAAGACACGAGAACGUCUCUCUUUCGGCGCAGCCCUACCCCUCUCCCUCCUUCUCCUCUCCCGCGGUGCUUGGCGAAGCCCUGCGGAUUGCCACGCUCCUCCAUCACCACCACGCCGUCGUGCUGCUGCUGGAUGGAGUCUUCCCCAACCUCUCCCUCCCUCCUUGCUGGAUCAAGGCGUGGGAGACGUCACCGGGCUGCACGUGUGUUGAACGCGGAGGCACCGUUCUUCGGUGCUCAGAUCGGAAUCAACCGCGAUCUGAAUCGCUACGAGUACGACUCCCUCAUCCGCGUUCUUGCAACGCUUCCGCAUCGCGAUCUACAAGGGUAUGUAGAUGCACUCCCCUUCCCCUCGUUGCUAGAUUACUCCAUAGAUUGAUCUUGGUGAUGCGUAGAAAAUUUUGAAUUUCUGCUACGUUCCCCAACAGAGGCAGCGGCGCGCGCUGCUGCGGAAGAGGAAGCCAUUUGUGUCGGAAUCCUCCAGAAGUGGCAGAGAAGGAACACGCGCACCCACACCUGAGAGCAAGCGUGGGCGGUCUGUGCCAUGGCUGGACUGCCCCCAAAAGAGGAGAAUGGGGACAGUGACAGGGCGGACAUCUCGGGCAAGGAGCAGAUCCGGCUUGAUCCAUAUUGCAUCUUCGAGUGCUACUUCCGCUACAAAGACGCCAUGAGCAGCAAUAUCAACCGUGGAUGAUCUUUGUGGAUAGUUUAGUAUGUAUGUAGAACAUGCCAAACAUUGGUAACCCGGUGGCAUGUAUUGAUGUAGUAGCCAGACGUCCGGCUGUUUCGGAAGUUGACGGUGCAUGUGUGAUAUAUAGAUUUGAGGUUUGCUAAUUGAGGUAUCCAAGUGUGUGGAGACGAAAAUUUAAGAUGUGACCGGUCACUGUCCGCGGAUGUGCCCAGCCGCGGAUAUUUGAGGGACCGAAUUUGUUAUUCGUGAAUGUAGAUGCUCUUACAUAAUUUAUUUACUAGUAAUACAUCUACUUGCAAUUUUAGAUUGCUUCAAUCAUAUUUUUAUUCGAAUUUUCAUUGCUUCAUGUCAUACUUCUAGCAUCAUCUGUAAGCCCUUUAGAAUUGUUCUCGGGGUUGCUAAACAGGAUUGUUAAUAGUGUGCAUGGUAAUUAAACGCCAAAAUGGUCUCCACCAAAAACUAAUACUGUUAUCAUUAUCAUCGAAAGAUCGAACACUCGUAUCUUGAUGACGUUGCUGAUGUCCCUGGCAAAGCACGGCCAUGCAGUUUCAGCCUAAACAUCUGCUGAACUAUACCCGAGUAUAUAUAUUCAUAACAUGCAUCACUAAUUCACUACCCACGCUGCUAGUAGGGCAAAUAAUUAACACACCGAGCAAAUAUGUAACACUUCUGGAUUGGAUUAAACAUGUUGCACGUCCACACGGAGUAUUGCUAAUUUUGGUGAUGCUCUCGUCGAUCAGCUCCAGAACCACGCCCAGUACUUGCGCUGCGCCUCCUCCUCUUCCUCCUCCCCUUGUUGGACGCUCCCGCGCUCCGCGGCCGCGACGUCGAGCAUGGCGUACUCGGGGAGGAAGAAGGCGCAGCUGUUCAGCUCGCCGCGCACCGCUCCGGCGCAGUCGUCGUCCGAGGACGACGGAGGCGAGCGCGCGUCGGCCAAGUAGGAGUUGGACUCCGGGCUGUCGUUGGCUCCCCCGGCAAAACCGGCCAGCAGCCCCGCCGCGCCAUCGCAGGCGGCAUAGCCGUCUUUCAGCUCAACGGCUGGGACACCGGCAUCUGCCGUGCCUGACACGGCGGUUGGCUCCUCUGGCUUCGACGACUCCUUGGCUUGCAGUUUCUCGGUCAGUGAUGUCACCUGCAAGCGCGCGUGCGCGGUCAUUAUCGAGGUGACAAGGUCUUGUUUGAAUUCAGGUGAUUUGGGACAACUGUGACAGUGAUCUAGAGGAUUUGCCAAGUACUGGAAAUUAGUCGGUCGAUUGAGCACUUUACUAGGUGUACUAGAUUCUUAUCAUACUUAGUACUCCCUUCGUCUCACAAUAUUAGAACGUUUUGCAAGCUAUGUUAGUUUGCAAAACGUUCUUAUAUUGUAGGACGGAGGGAGUACUAUACUAUUAUGUGACCCUACUGGUGAAUCCGCAUUCUAUUUACAGAGAAUAAUUCUUCCAAAGACAAUCGAAUCUUCAUCAUUCAAACAAAUAUUCGCAGAGGAAAUAUUUUGAUUGACUAAAAUGUGAAUUUCGUUUGACCCGGAUCGAACUCAAGGGCUACUUUGGCCGUGUAGCUCAUGGAAACUCAAUUAUGAAUAGGUGUGACCUUAAUUAAGCGAUGAGCUGGCCGUGGCCAGAUUGAUGAUCACCUGCGAUCGUAGUCGGUGGUUGUCGGCGAGGAGGGCGUCUCGUCCGGCGAGCAGCUCGUCGUGGGCGGCCCUGAGGGCGUCGAAGUCCUGCUCGAGCUGCUUCGCCUUCCAGCGCGCGCGGCGGUUCUGGAACCACACGGCCACCUGCCGCGGCGCGAUUCCCAGCCGCCGCGCCAGCUCGCUCUUCCGCUCCGGCUCCAGCUUCCGCUUCUCCUCCUCGAAGCUCCGCUCCAGCGCCCGCACCUGCUCCGCCGUCAGCCGGCGCUUCCUCUCGGGCGCGUGCUCGUCGAGGCCGUAGUACCCGUACAUCUCCUCGUCCAGCUGGAGCUCCUCGUCCACCGUUGUCAAGAACGGCCUCUUACGCCGCCCGUCCUCCACGCCGACCACCACCGGCGAGCCUGCAAAUACUCACGCGUGUAAGUGCAAUCAAGUAGAGAAUUCCAAGAACGAACGCCAACGAUACCGAUCCAUACCUCCAAGGAAGCUCCCGCUGCCGCCAAAGAGCAUCAUCUGGCCUCCUCCGGCGCCGGCAGCGCGGCACGGCGCGGCCGAGCCGAAAAUGAGGCGGCCGGAUUCCAUAGAAAACUCUAUCAAGAACCAAAGAAGAAGACCCUAUCUUGCGGCACUAAAAUUACAUAUGCGUGUGCGCACCACGCGCUCCCCCACCUCCUUUUGAAACGCGGAGGCGAUCGACCGGCCGGCCGGAGCUUGCUUGAUUAGAAGGAGGAGGCGGCGGCGGCCGGGAACUUGUGACGGUAGAAGCUUGUGCUCCACAGCAUGCGCGUCGACGUCUUCAUGGGGUACAGAGAGAACCCCAUCUCUCCAGCCACCGCCGGAGAAGAACACGGGAUUCUGUCAGGCCAAGUUUGCGCGAUGCACGGUGGCCGGAGAAGCUGGCCGGCGGUGGUGGAUGGACUGGCUGCAAAUAAGCUUUUUGGGUUUGUAAAUAUCUGUACUCCUAAUUGGGGAUCAGGGACACUGCGGGUAAAGUUUGGAGUGUAAAGGAGGAAGGAUUAUAUAGGCCCAAUGGGUGGUGUGAAUUUAAAGAAAUGUCCUUGAUUUGAUUAGAGUGGCAGCUUUGUCUCCUAAUUGGGGGAUUAGAGUAUCUUUAUUACUAUGAGAUUUAGUCUCUUUAAGAUAACUUAUUUAUAUUUAGGUUCUCCUUUUAUUAAUCAAGUGGUACACCUAGCCAUAGGCGAUCGUCAUUUUACACGCUGAGACCCUAAUAAAAAUAGCUGAAGGAACUUUUUGGAUGACCUCAUAAGAGGGUGCUCCUACAAUUUCAUAGGACAGAAUUUGCCCGGUUUAUAUCAUAAACUUCAUAACAUUAUGAUUGAUUAGGGGAUACCCCUGCAAAAAUAGGCUACGGAAGCGAGCAACCCCUAACCGAAUUAGAGUCCUCCACCAAAUGCAAACCGAUGACCUUAGGUCCAAAGAGACACAGGGCAGGUGUGAAGAAUCUCUUCAACAACACCUCUGAGGUGGCGCCCGUGAGCGUCAACAUCAUCGUCGCCGCCCCAUCGGGAGAAAGCUUUCGCCCAUAGCGCCUUGNNNNNNNNNNNNNNNNNNNNNNNNNNNNNNNNNNNNNNNNNNNNNNNNNNNNNNNNNNNNNNNNNNNNNNNNNNNNNNNNNNNNNNNNNNNNNNNNNNNNNNNNNNNNNNNNNNNNNNNNNNNNNNNNNNNNNNNNNNNNNNNNNNNNNNNNNNNNNNNNNNNNNNNNNNNNNNNNNNNNNNNNNNNNNNNNNNNNNNNNNNNNNGGGACUCUUCGACAACGUCUCCAAAAAGGUGAAAGACAUCUAUGGGCUCCUUGGUUACUAGUGAAAGAACAUGCGGUGCCCCCAUGUUUGGUUUUGGUAAUUGUUGACAAUCUCUAUGGACUAAUGGUUGCCUUGAGUUAUAUUUGAAGGAUUUGUCCAUAGGCUUUUCUUGAAGUCCAUGUGUUGGUUUCAAGGAGUUUAUGUGGUGACCAAGGUGUUGUUAAGGAAUUAUCCAAAGAUUGGUCAUGUGAGAGUAGAGCUUAUUGCAAGCAUGUCUUGAAGAAGAAGAUUGUGUGAUCAUUCAUGUUUACCUUCAAGACAUCAUCCAAAUGAAGAGAGUUGGAAAGAGUCAAGGUUGAUCAAGACUAAGUCAAGAGUGAAUCAAGUUGAUCAACACACAAAGCGCACAAGAUGUACCGAGAGGGAUCAAGCGAUCCCAUGGUGUGGUAAGCAUUGUCAAUUACGCUUUGUGUACUAACCCAUGAUCUUCAUGAGAGUUCUUUGUGGGGUUAGGUUGCGGUGUGCAAGUUCAAGUGAAGCAUCAUGAAGAGAUCAAAUGCUUGAAGCUUGCCGUCCAUUGUGGCGACAAUGGACUUGUGAAGAUGUUGCGGUGUGCAAGUUCAAGUGAAGCAUCAUGACGAGAUCAAAUGCUUGAAGCUUGCCGUCCAUUGUGGUGACAAUGGACUGGUGAAGAUGUGCGGAAGAGUGGCUCACCCAUAGUGGAGUAUGGGGGAGCAAUCAACUAGUCUUCAUCGAGCCAACACAACCAAGAAAGGUGGUCCAACUUGAGGGAGUCAAGAUCGUCAUCAUCUAGCUCAAGUGGACCAUGUGCAAGGCAAAGGUUUGCUCUUGAUAGGUUUUCUAUUUUACCGGUCUCAUGAUGGUAGUUGGGAGACCGGGUUAUAGGAUCGAUUGCCGUACUAUCAAGGGGGGCUCUCGAUGCGUAGCUUGAUCGUAUCGUUCAUAGAGAGCUCAAACCAUUGCAUCCUUGCAUCAUCUUUGUUGGUUCUUGUUUGGUUCUUCUCUUUGUGAGUUUUGGAGCUUAUGGUCAUCUUGAUGACAAGCUCGAGUUCAUCGAAAACGGAGUUCACUCGCAUCUUCUAUGAUGUUUUCGAUGUUGGAGGUUAUGCCGGUUCUUCUCGGUUGGAGGUUUCACUCCUCUAUUUUUUUGGCAUACCUCCCCUGCCUCUUCUUACUAUAACCAGUCGCUGUUUUGAUGCUACUCGUCUUUCUCAAUCCAACAAGCUUGAGUUUGCUCAAUUCGGAGCUCAUAUGCAGAAGUUAUGGCAGUUUUGGUUUCCUAGCGGUAGUACCGCGGCCAGAGCGGCAGUACCGCUUAUCACCCCAAGCGGUAGUACCGCUGUCCAAAGCGGUAGUACCGCCUAUGGCCAUAAGCGGUAGUACGGCUACGGUUCCGCGCUGGUACCGCCUCGAUUUUGGGUCUUGCAUUUUUCGUGUCGAGUUUUGCAGUAGUUGCACGGCAGUAAGGCACGACAGUUCCACCUAUAAGCGGUAGUACCGCCCUGAUGGGCGGUAGUACCGCCUAUAAGCGGUAGUACCGCUCCGGUCGGGCGGUAGUACCGCUACUGUUUUUUUUUUGGUCCCGUGUUCUGCUCCUCCAGCGGUAGUACCGCUGGGGUGCGCGGUAGUACCGCUUAUAAGCGGUACUACCGCCCCAAGGUUCAUGUUUGGUUGCUCCUUUUCCCCGCUUCUUCCGCCAGAGCGGUAGUACCGCUCGUGGAGCGGUAGUACCGCUCGUGUGCGGGCUGAGCACAUAACGGUUGGAUUUUUCCCCUUCUAUAAAAGGGGGUCUUCUUCCCCAUUUAACCUUAUCUCUUAAGCUCGUGUUCUUCCCCCAUUGUUGACCUUCUUCGAGCUUGCUAACUCUCAAUCCCUCCAUGGAUUCUUGCUAGUUUUUGAGGGAAAAGAGAGAGGAGAUCUAGAUCCACAUUUUCACCAAUCACUUUCUCCUCUUUGUGAGGGGAACCCCUUGGAUCUAGAUCUUGGAGUUCUUGGUGUUCUCCUUCUUGUUCUUCCUCUCAUUUUCCUCCCUAGCAUUAGUUGCUUCGGUGGGAUUUGAGAGAGAAGGACUUGGGCACUCCGUGUGCCCUUGCCAUUGCAUUUGGUGCAUCGGUUUGAGUUCUCCACGGUGAUACGUGGAAGUUACAAGUUGAGAAGCUUAUUACUCUUGGGUGCUUGGUGCCCUUGAGCUUGUUCCUCUUGGGUGCUUGGGCGCCCUAGACGGUUGGUGGUGUUCGGAGCUCAAUCAUUGUGGUGUAAAGCUCCGGGCAAGUAUCGGGGUCUCCAAUUAGGUUGUGGAGAUCGCCCCGAGCAAUUUGACGGGUACCGGUGACCGCCCCCAAGGGUUGCCAAAGUGUACGGGUUCGGUGACCGCCCCCAAGGGUUGCCAUUUGUACGGGUUCGGUGACCGCCCUCAAGGGUCCCUUAGUAGAAUCACGGCAUCUUGCAUUGUGCGAGGGCGUGAGGAGAUUACGGUGGCCCUAGUGGCUUCUUGGGGAGCAUUGUGCCUCCACACCGCUCCAAACGGAGAUUAGCAUCCGCAAGGGUGUGAACUUGGGAUACAUCAUCGUCUCCGCGUGCCUCGGUUAUCUCUUAUCCGAGCUCUUUACUUAUGCACUUUACUUUGUGAUAGCCAUAUUGCUUCUUGUCAUAUAUCUUGCUAUCACCUAGUAGUUUAUCUUGCUUAGCAUAAGUUGUUGGUGCGCAUAGGUGAGCCUAGUUGUUGUAGGUUUUGUGCUUGACAAAUUAACCGCUAGGUUUAUUCCGCAUUUGUUCAAGCCUAAACCGUAAUUAUUUUAAAGCGCCUAUUCACCCCCCCCCCCUUUAGGCGACAUCCACGAUCUUUCAACUAGUAUCAACCUUCGUAGGCCAAAGCUUUCUCUUAGAGUCCAGUAACCCUCCACCCCAACGAGUCUCUUGGAAGGAGGCUCAACUGCUGACAAGCUUCAGACUAGUUGUAAACACAACCAAGCCCGAAAGUCGGUUGCGAACCACACUAACUGGAUCAGAGAGCCUACAUCCUCCAGGACACCUCUCCACUGCACCACAUGCGUCACAAAAACAUGACAACUUUCCAUGAGGCCACCCUUACCGUCACAACUGGAACACAUUUGCGACGACACUGACCAUUGUAGCCAUCACGCUGACGACGACAUCCUACCAUUGAGCGCCACCUCCAUAGCAUGCCAAGGGCAUUAUGCAAAGUACCUGACAGUGGUACAGUAAUCACUCAUAUAUUUGGUUGAUAGUGGGAUAUCAUCUCAUGUCAUCGAACGAACAUGGGACACCUUUUUUUACUCAGGUCCAGGCCCUGAGAUGCAGGUAAUAGCCAUACUCUUGCUUAUAUGGGAUACACCAAGACAAGGUACAAGGAGGGAUUACAAUGAUGGUUUCAGUGAGCCCAUGGGUGACUCUCCGAGUGUAUGGUCGGUGAUCCGGAUGGGAAGCCUAGACCGAUGUCUUCAACGUCUAAGAUUUGUCUUCGGUAGAUUUCCUGUAGUGGUGGCUUGUGUAGGACUUGUUCCCUUCAUAUAGUUUCUUGGACUCCUUGCAUGGGAGUGGAGAUAUGGGAGUCUUUUCUGGAUGUGUCUUUUCUUUUUCUAGGUUGGAUAUGCUUCCCUUGUUGAAUACGACUCCAUAAAGGAAAGUUAGCUGCCCAGGUGGGGGCCCGACACCACGUGUACAUAGGAAAAUAUGGCCCAAAAUACACUACACACGGCACGGGAAUGCGGUGAAACCACUUCACCUCGAUAAUCCUCCCAACCUGCGCUUCUGCAUGUCGAAAUGCGCCGCCAGUGGGUCUUUGGAGGACUCCAUAUCCACGGCACGCGACCUUCUUCCAGUCGCCAGUCAACCGCCACAUCAUCGAAAUGAAGAGGGCCGCCACUGCCGCAACUAGGGAUUCCCAUCCCAACCGCCGCAUGUGGGAUCUUAGAUAAGUUGUCCCCACGACCAAAGCCAAUCGCCGCCGACCACCUUCGAAACGCCAAGUCGAGGUCCACUCAUGCCCUGCUCAGGCCCGCUACUUCGUUGCCCCCUCUGUGCCACCACCUCCAAGGCGCACAUCCUCGCCACUCUGCAACCAGUAACACAUUGUCGCACCAACCACAGACUAGGGGAGCCAUCAUUGGCCGCCAAGUCACCGUCAGAGCGAGCUGAAUGGUGCGGCCAGAUCAAGCCCCCGAGCCCACGCACAAGAAGCCACCACUGCCUGCAGCUCCACCACUGCACUCUAUGUCGUCGAUCACUCCAAUCAACAGUAUAGGGAAUGUAUCCUGCCGCCACCGGCUCCGCGCGAGCUUUGACCGGUAGAUUUGCCAGUGACGGAAAAACGGUAGUUGAUGGAUCGUGUGUCGUCCCCACCUGUGUUCGCUCUUUGAAGGGAGCGACGUGGGAGGGGGUUAAUUAUUGAUUUUGUACAAAAGUCCAACGGGGAAGAACCCUGUGACAUUUUAAUUAAUGUACUGUAGGAGGUGUGGGACACAGAACAAACCAAGUUGCGGCUUUCGAAGUUCGAACCAGGCCUGCCGAGAAACACCACUAUGCUCGAGGGUGUCUCUCUUCGAUUUAUCGGAUUCUAGAAACAAAGGGACAUAAAAUGUGUGUCAUCAUUGCAAUCUGACGCUAGUCUGGAUUCUUUGUAGAAUGUGCACAAAGUUUGUUUUUUGUUGUUGUUUUUUUGCUGGGUGCACAAAGUUCGUUUGAUUGUGCAUACAGAAAUCCAAUUAAAAUUUUCUAAGAAAAAUUUCUAUAGAAUACAUUUCUACAAAUCAAACAACCCAUAUAGAAGAAACCGCCAUGCGUGUAUGUUAUCUCUUGAUGUGGUUAGGUUGUCUGUUCCCAGCUACGUGUAUACAUACUGCAAAUCGAGAAGACUCCUAACCCUAGCCGCCGCCACAGCUUCUCUACACGUUGUCACCUUGGUCUCCUCUUCCCCGUCCGGCGGUCUUGUCGGCGGCAAGAGGUGGACGCGUUCGUCUUGUUUUCUUUUCAUUGGGUUUUUGCUUCUCUAGGGACAUCGAAGAGGUGGUGAUGGUGAUGACGUGUUGGAAUAAAGUCUCUCCGAUCUCUCCCGCGACAACGCCCAUCCGACGCUAACAAAGGGUCUAUAAGAGUGUGUCCCAGAUCUGUUGACGUAUCCUUGAAAAAAUUCUGCGUUCAGUUGUCUAUUCUUUUUACUGGCUUUUGCUUUCCUUCAUAGUAAUCAGAUCUAAGAUGCCCUUUGAUGUUCUUUUAUUAUGUAAAAGGAAAAAAAAUAAAGCUCUUGUACCUACAUGGUUCACACGACCUCCGUUGCUACGACAAAUUAACAUCAAAUCAAAGUGUCAACCGCAACAGUACUAGCCUGUGAAAAUCGCACAGCUGUUGGGAGCAACUCGUUUAGUUUUGGUGGCGCCGUUUCGUUGCCGUAAAAAGGCAAGCAAAUUAAGCGGCCUUCAGAAACCUAAAAGGCUAAGCCCCAAACAUAUAGCUUACCUUCGUUUUCCUUGAAAAGGUUGGUUAACAAGGUUGUUAAACAUAUUAUAACACUUGUGUCAGCUUUCAUGACGGAGCAACACGUAGACACACCAGUUAAGGAUCCAGUUGUACAUAUUACAUGGCAUAGCUGUGCACUUAAUAUGGUUGAUUUGAGGCUGUCAAGGAAUCCUAUUUCGAUUAUUUAACUAGCAGAUGCUAGUUGUCCGGUUGUAACUGCACAGUUCUCGUCUCAUAUGUCACAUUUGUGUGCAGCUUCUUCAACUGCAGUAGGCAAAAAAGAUAAUUAACGUGAAGUCAAUUUAAGGUAUAGGAUUUGUCGACGGAAACUGCAUCUAAAAAGAUAAUUAAUGUGAAGUUAAUUUAAUGUGUAGGCUGCUUGGACCGGUUGAUACUCUCAGUUUGCCACGCCGGCGGCUUCUUAAUGCCACUGAAUUAGAUGUUGUCCAUUGAUGCGGUCAUGACACAUCUUUAUACUUGUAGGUGUAGCGACUUUGUUCGCCUUGAAAGUGACUUUGGCUUGAUUUUUGUACUCCCUCUAUAAACUUUCAUAAGAGUAGUGAUCUAAACGCUCUUAUGAAAGUUUAUAGAGGGAGUAUUUAUUUUGUCAGACUCUAUUGAAUAACUUAAUAAAUAUGGUUUUAUGCAUCAUUUCGAUGCAGAGGAGGCCAACGGUAAGCCUCCUUUAAAAAAAAUAGAANNNNNNNNNNNNNNNNNNNNNNNNNNNNNNNNNNNNNNNNNNNNNNNNNNNNNNNNNNNNNNNNNNNNNNNNNNNNNNNNNNNNNNNNNNNNNNNNNNNNNNNNNNNNNNNNNNNNNNNNNNNNNNNNNNNNNNNNNNNNNNNNNNNNNNNNNNNNNNNNNNNNNNNNNNNNNNNNNNNNNNNNNNNNNNNNNNNNNNNNNNNNNNNNNNNNNNNNNNNNNNNNNNNNNNNNNNNNNNNNNNNNNNNNNNNNNNNNNNNNNNNNNNNNNNNNNNNNNNNNNNNNNNNNNNNNNNNNNNNNNNNNNNNNNNNNNNNNNNNNNNNNNNNNNNNNNNNNNNNNNNNNNNNNNNNNNNNNNNNNNNNNNNNNNNNNNNNNNNNNNNNNNNNNNNNNNNNNNNNNNNNNNNNNNNNNNNNNNNNNNNNNNNNNNNNNNNNNNNNNNNNNNNNNNNNNNNNNNNNNNNNNNNNNNNNNNNNNNNNNNNNNNNNNNNNNNNNNNNNNNNNNNNNNNNNNNNNNNNNNNNNAAAAUGAAGUCAUCUUUUUUUGCCUACUACAUGCAUGCAGCAAGAAAAUGUAAGAAGUAAGAUGAUGCUUACUUUUUGAAAAUAAGGCAAGCCCCCGGUCAAUGUACACAGCCAUAAAAAAAUGAAGGAUGUGUUUUGAAUAAGCUCAGUUGCUUCACCAACUUGGGAAGACAACUAAUCCCUCUGUUUGGAAAUUCUUGUCAAAGAAAUUGAUACAUUCAUUUUUAUUCAUUUCUCCGAGAAGAAUUUUCGAACAGAGGGAGCAUAUAUGUUCCCUGGCUGAGUAUAAUGCUACAAUAUGUAUAGACAUAUCCUCAGGACUGAAACCAACCAAGCAAAUAUCCUAACUUGUCGACGAAAAAAGCUCAAGAAUGACAAGAAACCUUUGCCCCGAUAUAAACGAACAAUAUGGGGAAAGUGUCGCAAUUGAGACCAGAAAAGGAUGCUUCCUUAGCUGUUACUUCUGCUAUAGAUCUCCGACUAGUCUCUGAUGCGGUUAUUCUCAUAGUUUUUAUGGAAUCAAAUCAGGCAUCAUACUGGACGGUCACUAGUCGAGCAUCUGGUGCUUACCAAUCUCAGCGAAACACUGCAAGCACAAGUCCUGAUUUCGUGUGCUGGUGUGAUGAAAUGUACAGUAGCUUUCAUCGUAUGCGUACUUACAUGUGUUCGACUCAAACACCUAAUGCUCCGCUAAUACCAAGUCCAACUAUAACCCUGUUACACAGACGCCAAUUUUCCUUUUUCUUUCCCAUGAAAAGCGAUUGCUUCCCGUCUCUCACCUGUGGAAGAACUUGUGCCAAGGAAAGAUUUCUCGGACUCUUUUUCCAAAGAAAAUAAAAAAGGCAACACAGAACAAAGCGAGCGGUAGCCCUGAAUCCCUGAUGUACAUGUGUGUGUUGAGAUGUAGCUCUCAACUCGUUUUCAGCAAAUAUGCCCUUACUCGCUCGUGACAUGCUUCACAUGGGGCAUAAGAGAAUAGUGUAACAAUUUGUUGCUCAAGAACACUCCUGAAUAGACCUUUUGGUCUUUAUAUUCCUCAGGCCAAAUUCAGAGCAACAGGUGCCAUGACCUCGGCCAACCACUUGUUCCAUGCAGAUUUGCAGCAGCACAGGUGACAUUGUGGUCAAUUCUAAUCUGAAAAAGAUAAGCUUCUUUUUCUCCUGCAGUGAUUUCUCAGUGAGUGAGCCUUGCUUUUUGUAGCAGGGCACUCAACACCUGUGCAGGAGGAAGGGUCUGCGUUGCCAUAUACGGGAAGUGAUCUGGCUUUAAUCUGUGAAGUUGUCUGGCGCAUGAUCUGUUAGUUAAGAUAGGGUUUGGACUUUGGACACGUCGAGAUGUGUGACAAUUAGCCCAUUAUUUAAACCUAUCUUUGCACUGUGUCAUGGAGUUUUUCUUUUCUUUCAGUGGCCAACUUAGACUUGUCUCCCUCGCCUUUCUCGGCUUAGCUGAAUGGCCUGUAUUUCAGAAUGUGAUGCUCACCAAUCUGAAGGAAAUACUGCACUUCCAAGCGUACAAAAUUUCCUUUUCAUCUUUCCUCUGAAAAACCGCCGUGGCUUCAUGUCUCUCAGUAGCUCUUGGUAAAGCUUGUGCCAGAAACAAGCUCCCAGAUUCUUAUCAACAGGAUUACAGAACAAGGUGAGUCACAGCCAUGAUGUCUAGUAGGUGCUUAUGAAAUGCAGCUUUCAAACUAGUAUUCUUCACAUAGCAUAACGGAUAGUCUAUUAUAUAGUCUGAUAUUGGUCAGGAAAGCUCCUGAAUUGACUUUUUAAUCUUAUACUUACUGCUCAGGCCAAAUUCAGAGUGCCAAAUGCAAUGCUCCUGCCCAACCACUUGCCGCUUGCAGAUUGCACCGGCGAUGCUGUGGUCAGCUUUUUUUAGAGACACGGAAAACAAGCUGCAUAGAUGCACAUACACGCAUGCCUCCACGCGCACGUAACAUCAAGUUGCGGAGCUUAAAAAUGGUCGAAGUCACCAGAGACGCCUCGCUAUGUCAACGGAUACGUCAUCCCCGGCGAAAUCAGGAAUUUGCCCUGGUGAGACAAGCGUGACACCAAUUGGUUUGAUUCUGUCCAGGCAGUGUCCUGGUUUCUACCUCUCUGCUUUUCUUGCCAUGGUUUCUUACCGAUUAGGCAUGCUGAUCUGAUAGGGCACCGGAGGAAGCAUUGCUCGGCACGUAUGCAGGAGGAAAUGUUGUCAUAUACAGGAGGCGAUCUGACUUUGUGAAGUUGUGUGAUGCAUGAUCAGAUAAGAGCUCAGACAUCGUGAGAUGUGUGACAGUUAUCUCAUUACUUAAGUCUAUCCUUGCACUGUGCUCUUAUUUUCUUAGAGCAACUAGCAGAUUCCCUAAAACCUGCCUCCCUUAAAAAACUGCCAUUACAAAGAAAAUUGGGUUAAAUCCACGCGUGCACUCUAAAAACAGUCCUACAGGCUUUGCAUUUAGAUGUGUAUGUACAAUGUGUUUAUGGUGUGUUAAGCAUGCUUUCCCAAAAGCAAUCAUGGUGGCAUUUUAGAAAAAAAAAAGAGAAUAAUAGAAUCAAGUCUAUGAACAGGCAACAACACUCCUUCAGAAAUUAGACAGGAGCACCUGCACUCUGUUCGCGGUAUUCGUAGUUGAUUAUAGGAGUUUAAGUGCUUGUCCACAACGGUAUGGUUCAUUGCUUCCAGUCACAGGGGAAAUAGAAGAGAUAAAACUAUAAGAGCAAUGCUACACCUAGGUAAAGUUAUGUACAGAUUUUACGUAAGAGUCAACGUGUAGGAGUGGGAUUGGAUGGAAGGGUGUGGGAGGGGCCCACACGGGUGAAAAUCAGGGGGGGCAUAGAAUUUGUUAGGCAGGUUACGUAGCUCUUCGUGCGUUGCUUUCGUAGGUGUAGGAUUAUUGAAACUAUAAAGGCUACAGUUUUAGGAAUUUGACUUUGCACACCUUCUCUGCAGCCUUUGAAAAAAAAUAAAGGCCGUUGUAAAGGAGAUUUAAAGGUGGGCCGGGUCCAACGUGGUGGGCUGUCCGGACACCCUCAUUGCCUCCCCACAUAUGGGCUAGAUUUGGGGUUCACGAACAGCCCGGACAUAUGGGGACGAUUUGAAGGGUCCGAAUGGAGAUGCUUCUCUCUCUCUCUCUCAUAUGUCCGGGCACUGUCCGGGCUGUCCGCCUGGACAUAUGUAGGAACGGUAUGGAUCGUCCGGUUGGAGAUGCUCAACCUUCAGAAAUUAGAUGGCAGAGUUUCCGGCCGUCGGCCUGUGUCCUGUGCAGGUUUGAUCACUUAUCACUACUGCCCGCCUCGUGCCCUUGCUCUAUACAGGCUUUCACUUAGUUUUCUCCUCAGAUUGCACUUGUUCCAUGGUAGCGAAUCUGUCGUCCUCGGCUCCUCGCUCUCCUAGAUAGCCAACCGUUGUUCUGUCUUCCUUAUGAAACAGAAGAUAACCGGUAGUCCGGCGGUACCUUGCUCUGUUUAUUUCCAGCCGUCAGGUAGUUAGGGUGUCCUAAGUCCUGAUAAUGUUUAGCUGAACCAUUUUUAAAUGCAGAAGGGUAGUGCGACAGGGUGAUCCUCUCUCCCCAUUAGUUUUUGUCAUUGCCUCAGAUUUCCUACAACCUUUGGUCAAUAAUGAAAUGCAGACUGCCCAAUUGGAAAAACCUCUGAUCGGAAGAUCAUGCCCUGCUUCCCUGUUAUCCAAUAUGUUGAUGACACCCUUGUCGUCAUGAAAGCCUUCGACAGACUGUUAUCCAUCCUAAAGGAUUUACUAGACUCAUAUGCUGCUGCCCUCCAGGUUAACUUCCAUGAAUCAUUUUUGGUGCCCAUCAAUGUUAGCAAUGAGCGGAUCCAGAUCUUCACUGAUACCUUGCAUUGUCAGCUAGUUGUUUCCCCUUUACAUUCCAUGGAUUACCCCUUAGUCUGGCAAACCAAGAAUGGGGCACUUUUUGCCAUUGAUUGAGAUAGGCCAACAGAGAUUAAGUGUAUGUGCUGAUUUCUGGGAUAUGAGGGCAGAUUACAAAUGGCUAAUGAUAUCCUCUCAUCUUUGACAACUUUUGUCAUGAGUUGCAUCAAACUUUACAAAAGAACUUCGGAUGAAUAUGACAAAUAUAGAAGGCACUGGUUCCGGUGGAGGAAGGGUCUGGAAAAGAAAAACCCACCCUUGGCUGCUUGGGAGCUAGUGUGUACACCAAAAGAUCAAGGGAGGUUAGGUAUUUGGAAUCUGCAGACUCAAAAUGAUGCUAUGUUGAUGAAAAACAUAUAUAAGUUCCUUAAUAGGUAGGAUAUCCCAUGGGUGAAGUUAGUUUGGGAAUCUUACUGUCAACCUGGUCAUCCACCAGCUCAAACUGCUGAUUGCCCCUUUUGGUGGAGAGUUUGUCUUAAGCUUCUGCCCAAAUUCAAGGAACUUGCUAUUUGCGAGGCUCAUGAUGGAAAUACAGUACGUACUCUUUUGGAAAAACAAAUGGCAAAGGAAUACACUGCAAGCAACCUGGCCUUAUUUGUUCUCCUUUGCCCUUAAGGAAAACUCCUCAGUCCAGCAAAUUAUGCAGCAAGAUUUGACCCCUGAUCUGUUCCAUUUACCUUUAUCUCAGGAAGCUUUCCAGGAAUUCGCUUUCCUGGAACAGCUGAAGGAAGGGUCACAGAGGACCCUGAUAUCUGAAGGCUCUGGAAUUCUUGCUGUCAAAAGAAACACAAGGUCUUUUUUCGGUUGCUCAUCAACAACAGAUUUAACACAAGGGAGAUGGUAUUACAUAGGAAAAUCUUCUUCUUGCCUGAUUACUCUUGUGUGCUUUGUGGAAGUUUUGCUACUUAGACUAGUGACCAUCCAUUUUUCCAGUGUCCUUUUGCAGUUGCUUGUUGGAAAUACUUAUGCCCAGAUUGGAACCAAAUUCAAGGCCCUGUUCAGGAUCAGAUUCACACUUUGAGAACAUCUCUGCACCUUCCAUUUGCAAUGGAACUAAUAGUGCUUGCUUCCUGGGCUAUUUUACUGUGCUUUUUAUGAAAAUUUGUAAACAUACAGUAGGGAGAAAUCCCUUCUGGUUCCCUAAAAAAAAACUGUUUGGCUGAACCUAGGUUUCUUGCCGCCAGACAUCUGUUCAAACGAAAACAAAAGGUUAUUCACAAGGUGUUCAGGAAAAAAAGCUGCCUAGAUCAUCCUACCCAGUAAAGCUUCCGAGUGUGUGCAACCAUAUAUACACACUGCGUUCCAAGAUUGUCAAACCAUCAUGGACAUAAAGUGAUCAAGCUCAGCGCCACCGCCACCACCAGCAGCGGCGACAUAUUGCGGAGGUGUUUUUUGACAUGAGGGUUUUUUUCUUAGUAAAAGGGUUUGCUCCAGUCUCCAUUAUCAGCAAAAGAGACGGGCGCCAAUGGCUACCCAGACGCUUCAGCACAAGCCCUUCAAAGACACGCCAAUGAAGAGUCAUAACCAGGCACUGUACACGAGCAGCACCGCCAAGUUUCGGCAUACAGCAAGCACAAACAACAGGGCACACCUACAGCAGAUUCUUCCGAUGCUCGUGCUUCAGUCAGGAGAUGUUUUUAAUUUUCAGUCAAGCGCAAACGACCAAGACAACAGCGAAUUCAGUUGUUGAUCGCUCAAAUGGAAAGAAAAGCACAACAGGAACAGGGUAGAAGCAAUAACAAUGGCGAUCAAAAGUUGAAACGACUAAUGCCCGGCAAAGAUUGUCUGCGCCAUGAAUCUGCAUACAACUCAAGUCAAUCCUUUUGCAAAGACUGAUCGAUGCCCUAAUGAUAGUCGGUAUACGUUUCAAAAUUCGAGUAGGCAAGUCAAAAAAAAAUACACUACAUAGUUCCAAUCUAUAUAAUCCGUAGGUUGAUCCUUUAAGUUCAAACUUCUGAGCAUCUAAAAUUGUAAGUAGAGGAACUCUGGAUUUCGAAAAUAAAUUAUGAGGUUCAGAUUUUGGAAUCUGUUUCAUGAAAUUUAUCAUCUCCCAUAAUUCAAAACUUUGCGUGUGAUCAGGACAUGGUGGCUCUGUUUUUGAGUCGCCGACUAAUCGCCGAUUAGUCGCCGACUAAUCGCCAAGUCGUCGCGGCAUGGCUGGCUCGCGCAGGCGACUUGACUCAGGGAGCAAGUCGCGCGACUCGCGUGGCUCGCCGGCGACUUGGGGCGAUUAGUCGCACGACUCGCUGGCUCGCGUGGCUUGCUGCUGCUGUAUAUGUGAUCAUGUGGGGGCUGGGGAAGGAGGAGGACCGAAGGAAAGAGAGCGCAGGGUGGGCUCUAUAUGUGCUCUGCUUAGAUGUAGUAUAUGAAAGAGAGUGCAGGGUGGGCUCUAUAUGUGCUCUGCUUAGAUGUAGUAUAUUUUCUCUGUUGUAUAUGUGCUCUUCUGCUGCUGUAAGUCUAUGUGCUCUGCUGCUCUAUGUACUGUUGUGCCAUGGCGACUUGGGGCGACUAAUCAAGCCAAGUCGCUGACUCAAGCCAGCAAGUCACUAGCCGCAGCCUCGGCGACUUGGCUUGACUCAGCGACUCAAAAACCUUGCAUGGUGGCAGCAGCAAUGGAAGAUGUCAGAGAAGGUAAAGGAUGGAGUAAGAAGGAAGGUCGAGGGAGAAGAUAUCAGCAUUUUGCCAUGGAAUAUUCAUAAUGGCAUCUACUCCCUCCGUUCCAAAUUACUUGUCGUGGUUUUAGUUCAAACAAGUAAUUUGGAACGGAGGGAGUAAAUGAUUUCUCACGUUUUAGAAUGGAGCCCACCCUUCUAAGUUUAGUCAUCUAAAUCAAUGGCUUGAUUUUAUUUAUACAAUCAACGUCCACGGGUAGUAAAAUGUACCACAAAAGGCAUGGGAUUUUGACGAUCAAUGGAGCUGAAGUGGCAUUUAUCCAAUUAACUCUUUUGAACACAUGAUUUUUUAUCUUCUGUAACCAGCAAUGUUGGUACUAACUCCUACCUAACUGUGGUAUGCAACAGGAGGCCUUCCCGUUUUACUUUUCGUUUGGAGGAGUAUAUUCAGUUAAAGUCAGAACAUAUCAGCAGUGGCUUGUUUUGUUUAUCGGUUGCAUCGCGUGACCAACAAAACAACAACAUAUUGUGUGCUGUUGAACAAUUAUACGUGAUAUCCCAGUUGUCUGAUGUGGAAUCAGUCUAUUAUACCUGCGGCAACAGGGUAAACAUAGAUUGCACACAGCAGUAAACUGAAACUUUUGAACACAAUGUAACCUCCUGAUGAAUUGACUGACACCAACUUGAUUUAUUCAAAUAUAAGAAGAGCACUAUAACAUCGUGAAUUUGUGAUGUACUGAUGUUUAAAGUACAAUGAACAACCACUCUGUAUCUUACACCGAACCAGCAACACUCACAAUCUGAAACCCGGGCAUUUUCACUUGCAGGUACACAUGACAUACCUGCAGAGCAUUCCACCUCCCCAGCAACUUGUACUCAGCGCC
RNAcentral lists this long non-coding RNA (37470 nucleotides) under Triticum aestivum (bread wheat). Its description in RNAcentral is "long non-coding RNA (TAES_LNC008847)". The stretch from base 21291 to 21377 matches the Rfam family "MIR1120/MIR1122 microRNA precursor family". Lineage: Eukaryota; Viridiplantae; Streptophyta; Magnoliopsida; Poales; Poaceae. The record is from RNAcentral.